Molecule: long non-coding RNA, 384 nt
Filed under: Capsella rubella
Lineage: Eukaryota; Viridiplantae; Streptophyta; Magnoliopsida; Brassicales; Brassicaceae
Description: long non-coding RNA (CRUB_LNC004579)
Source: RNAcentral
CGACCCAACCCACAAUAUUACUAAACCAAACUGAACCAAAUAAUUAACCUACGUAUGGUCUAACAUAACGAUAUUUUUAAUUAAUACUGAUAAGUCCACUUUUUACUUCCAAAAAUAUAGUAUUCACUAUACAUUAAUCAUUUGUUAUAAAUUAAUGUGAAAAUAGUUUUUUUUUUCCUUUUUUUUAACAGCGUGAAAUAUAUGGUCAUUGAUUUUGCAUGAAAUACUAGGUUUGACUUUCGAAUAUAAUUUAUAUGAUUUUACAUUAUAUUUCCAUUGAAAUUUUCAAAUAUAUACGUAUAAGCACACGGCACGCAGCAGGCAGAAGCAGGGGCGGACCCAUAACCAUGGUGGUGGGGGGCAGCUGCCACCAGCAAAAAAAAA